AACGCACAUUGCGCCCCUUGGUAUUCCAUGGGGCAUGCUUGUUCGAGCGUCAUUUGUACCCUCAAGCUUUGCUUGGUGUUGGGUGUCUGUCCUUUCCCUGCGUCAGGACUCGCCUUAAAUUCAUUGGCAGCCGAUGUAUUGGUUUGAAGCGCAGCACAAUUUGCGAUUCAGGCUGGUGAUCAUGGGCAUCCAGUAAGCACAUUUUAACACCUUUGACCUCGGAUCAAGUAGGGAUACCCGCUGAACUUAA
RNAcentral lists this unclassified non-coding RNA (250 nucleotides) under uncultured fungus. Its description in RNAcentral is "partial contains 5.8S ribosomal RNA, internal transcribed spacer 2, and large subunit ribosomal RNA". The record is from RNAcentral. Lineage: Eukaryota; Fungi.